GCCCGGGAGAGACCGCGGAUACCGCGGCACCGAAGGGGAAGAAACUCUCAGGUAGAAGGAUCGGGC
RNAcentral lists this non-coding RNA (66 nucleotides) under uncultured Eubacterium sp. Its description in RNAcentral is "Glycine riboswitch". It matches the Rfam family "Glycine riboswitch aptamer", at positions 8 to 87 of the family's 94-position model. Rfam says of the family: This family represents the bacterial glycine riboswitch. Glycine riboswitches usually consist of two metabolite-binding aptamers domains with similar structures in tandem. The record is from RNAcentral. Lineage: Bacteria; Bacillati; Bacillota; Clostridia; Eubacteriales; Eubacteriaceae.